Molecule: ribosomal RNA, 512 nt
Filed under: uncultured Glomeromycotina
Lineage: Eukaryota; Fungi; Glomeromycota
Description: SSU rRNA
Rfam family: Eukaryotic small subunit ribosomal RNA
Source: RNAcentral
UUGGAGGGCAAGUCUGGUGCCAGCAGCCGCGGUAAUUCCAGCUCCAAUAGCGUAUAUUAAAGUUGUUGCAGUUAAAAAGCUCGUAGUUGAAUUUCGGGAUUUAUCCGUUGGUCGGGCUUUUGGGUCUGUACUGGCGUGAUGGAUUUCUACCUUCUGAAUAACCAGCAUGUCAUUAAUUUGGUGCGCUGGCGAAGCAGGACUGUUACCUUGAAAAAUUAGAGUGCUUAAAGCAGGCUAUUGCCUGAAUACAUUAGCAUGGAAUAAUGAAAUAGGACGGCAUGGUUCUAUUUUGUUGGUUUCUAGGAUCACCGUAAUGAUUAAUAGGGAUAGUUGGGGGCAUUAGUAUUCAAUUGUCAGAGGUGAAAUUCUUGGAUUUAUUGAAGACUAACUACUAGCGAAAGCAAUUUGCCAAGGAUGUUUUCAUUAAUCAAGAACGAAAGUUAGGGGAUCGAAGACGAUCAGAUACCGUCGUAGUCUUAACCAUAAACUAUGCCGACUAGGGAUCGGAUGAU